Molecule: long non-coding RNA, 2931 nt
Organism: Callithrix jacchus (white-tufted-ear marmoset)
Lineage: Eukaryota; Metazoa; Chordata; Mammalia; Primates; Cebidae
Source: RefSeq, a predicted model, not a curated record
CCCACCCCCACCCCAGAACCUUCACUCCAGGAAGGCAGGGAUGGGGUUAGCCCGGCCCUAGCUGUGUCCUUGAUCCUGAGGCGGGUGUGCAGAGCGAGUGAAGGUCCUGACUCAGACAACCUGUCCUCAUCCCCCAGGCAUGGGAAAGGCCUCCCAGGAAGACUGCCACUUCUCUACAUCUCAGCCUAUCUAAAAAUGCUGCAUCCUCCCCCGAACAGCAGACCAGUGUCUGUGAGUCCAGAAGUGCCCACAGGCAGAGGCUCCCAUGCAUGCCCACCUGCUUCUGGAGCAGCGCCUCUAAAAGGCCCUAAGCCAGAUCUGCGAUGCAUGUCAGGAAGAGCCCAACUGUCUCAACUGAGUUGUCCAACUGCCCCAAGUGGAUGGCCAGGGGCAAAGGACGAAGAAACAUCCCAACCUGCUCUUCUGGGUGUUAUCAAGCUGCCAAUGUUGACACUUCCCAGAUGUCCUCUGGACAAAGCCAUCCCAUAACAACCAGCCCACAUGACAUACUUGGCUCUCAUUCCAUGUGACCUGUCUGUGGCUCCAAGAGGAGGAACAGUUGGUGACAGGAUCUCUAACAGUCAAAGUCUCCAGUUAUACCACUGUGUGCACUAUGCCACCAAGGACAAGAAGCAGGGCGUGGGCAAGGCUGGCACUCAGACAGCAGCACAUGGCCACACGCAAGAGCCACAGUGCUUCCGUGCUCCUGGUACAGUGAACCCACAUCCAAAGCCUGGGCCUGAAGAACUCACACAGAGAGAAGCAAAUAGUCCCAUUCCCGACAUGGGAAAAGCUCAAUGCCCAACAGAGAAACAGUUUUGAGACUGAUGAUACAUCCACUUCCUAACAUGCUACCACUUAAUAACCAGUGAGGAUGAGGAUUCAAGAAGCCCUCCAGGGUACCACUCACACCAUCGAAUGCAGCCAGCAUGUCCUGCACAGGCCCUCAUGGCUCUGUUGCUCUGUUUGCUGGUGACCAGCAACCCCUGAAGGUGUGCAAUAGAAUUUCUCCAGCAGCUGCCCUGAAGCUGGCACCACUCAAGGCCCCACAGAUAAAAACAUGAAGUACACAGGUCUCCCAAGGGGCUCAUGGUCGGUUCUGUUUGUAACACAUGUAAGGAUGGAUAAGGAUUGAGAGUUAAUGAGAAAACAGCUAUUGCAUGGACUGCAGGGAUCAGCAGCAGGUUGGGAGGCUUUUGCUUGAUUUGACCAUUUUUGUAAUAGAAAUGCCACUACACAGCACUUAUCAGUUAUUUUUCAGGGGAGGGAAAGAUGCCUGUCUGACGGAGCAUACAGGACUUCUGAUAUAACCCUAGCAGAGAGGCUUCAAUGGGGGGGGUCUUGGUCAUUCCUGGGAGAAGUAGGUGCAGUUAGGGAACCCCUAUACUUCACUCUCCACAAACCGGACCUCACAGCUCCAGGUAUUUAAUGCAAACUGGCCUGGGAACAAGAAGGCCAAUUCAAGUCCUGGCUCUACCACCUAGUGGCCCAGGGCAAGGCACUAUCUCUGUGAUUCUCAGUUUUAUCAUCUACAAUGGAAAAAUACAUCUAUUCCGUCCAUAUCAUUUUUUAUUAAAAAAAAAAAGAAGAUCAUGUCAGACACAAGCAUACCUUGGGUAACUGCACAAUCAAAAAUGCCUCAAGGUCAGGAACAUAUACCCAGCACCUACCCCGGUACACAAACCAAACCAGUGCUCACAGGAGUGCUUCACAGUGGAAGCAGCCAGUGGGAGCCCAGAACAGUUGUACAGUUCAAGUGCUACAGGGUUUCUACUUCUGAGGGUAGGCCAAGGACCCAAAUCCCACACUGGCUUCCUCACGGCAGGCUCCACCCUAGACUCCAAGCAGAGUGUUCAUCCCCAGGAAAAUUCUUCAAGAGGAAAAGUUCCACACAGUACUGAAGACGGGCCUACACCUGUAAGCAGAAUGUGUGCAAACUAUGGCUAAUACAGUCUCUGUAGUUUUCAGGUUGAUUCUUGCCCUUUUCUUAUUCCCAAAAGAAAACACUUCCACACUCACAGCAAACAGGCUGUUUAAUGUUUUCUGCAUUUAAAUUUGAAAGAGGAAGGAUACCGGGGUAGCAGCCCUCUGGCCCUCUUUCUAAGCUUGUAAAUCAUGGAAGACUUCAAGGUUGCCUCUCUUUUCUGGGACAUUCCAAUGUAAGUCAAUAAGACAGUGAGGGAUGAGGGCACAUUAAAAUCCAGUCUCAAGCCUCACCCCUGCCAAGACUUUGUGUGUCCUGUGGCCACCCAGGUGGACUAUGAGAAAAGCAGGGGUGCUAAAUCCAAGCAUCUGGGGAGGGAAGCUUCUUGGCAGAGCUGUGACCACCUGCCUCACCACAGUGGGGUCAGCACACACCUCUGACCAUGCUCCGAAUGGGGACUUCUCUUUCAGAACAAGCCUGCAAGGGCCGACGAGCACUGGUCACCACUGCAUACCCCUCAAGAGGCCACAGGCUUGUCCUGUGUUGACUAAACUGUGCUAGAACUCCUAAGAGCUGUCCAUGGGGCCUUGAGCCCUGGAAAAUACUGUUCUGUUGCUGUACAACCACACAGUUCUAAACCCAAACUACGUUCCUCAAUGCAAUCAUCAUCAUCUCCCAGCCCAGGCUUCCGGGAGCAGCCAGCCACUGUGCAGGUGUUAAAGAUGGAGCUAUGGCCUCUGAAAGUGUUUCAACAUCAUCAGGACCCAGAGCCAUGUCCAGGGAGGCAGCCCAGCCUCCGAAGAACACCAGCUCACCAGCUGGCAGGAAAGCAUCCUGUGGGGAGGACACACACCCCAGCUAUGGGACCCCAAGGGUAGGUCUGCACCCCUCCCUGCUGGCAUUGGAGCUGACCCCAGGGUUUAGGGCAUUAUGAGCCCUUAUGAACUCCAUUUUAUACCUGAGGAAACUGAGGCACACAGAGACUCAAGGUCUAUCCGAGGCCACAG